ACACCGGGGCGGCGUGCUAUACAUGCAAGUCGAACGAGUUCUCGUUGAUGAUCGGUGCUUGCACCGAGAUUCAACAUGGAACGAGUGGCGGACGGGUGAGUAACACGUGGGUAACCUGCCCUUAAGUGGGGGAUAACAUUUGGAAACAGAUGCUAAUACCGCAUAGAUCCAAGAACCGCAUGGUUCUUGGCUGAAAGAUGGCGUAAGCUAUCGCUUUUGGAUGGACCCGCGGCGUAUUAGCUAGUUGGUGAGGUAAUGGCUCACCAAGGCGAUGAUACGUAGCCGAACUGAGAGGUUGAUCGGCCACAUUGGGACUGAGACACGGCCCAAACUCCUACGGGAGGCAGCAGUAGGGAAUCUUCCACAAUGGACGCAAGUCUGAUGGAGCAACGCCGCGUGAGUGAAGAAGGCUUUCGGGUCGUAAAACUCUGUUGUUGGAGAAGAAUGGUCGGCAGAGUAACUGUUGUCGGCGUGACGGUAUCCAACCAGAAAGCCACGGCUAACUACGUGCCAGCAGCCGCGGUAAUACGUAGGUGGCAAGCGUUAUCCGGAUUUAUUGGGCGUAAAGCGAGCGCAGGCGGUUUUUUAAGUCUGAUGUGAAAGCCCUCGGCUUAACCGAGGAAGCGCAUCGGAAACUGGGAAACUUGAGUGCAGAAGAGGACAGUGGAACUCCAUGUGUAGCGGUGAAAUGCGUAGAUAUAUGGAAGAACACCAGUGGCGAAGGCGGCUGUCUGGUCUGUAACUGACGCUGAGGCUCGAAAGCAUGGGUAGCGAACAGGAUUAGAUACCCUGGUAGUCCAUGCCGUAAACGAUGAAUGCUAGGUGUUGGAGGGUUUCCGCCCUUCAGUGCCGCAGCUAACGCAUUAAGCAUUCCGCCUGGGGAGUACGACCGCAAGGUUGAAACUCAAAGGAAUUGACGGGGGCCCGCACAAGCGGUGGAGCAUGUGGUUUAAUUCGAAGCAACGCGAAGAACCUUACCAGGUCUUGACAUCUUUUGAUCACCUGAGAGAUCAGGUUUCCCCUUCGGGGGCAAAAUGACAGGUGGUGCAUGGUUGUCGUCAGCUCGUGUCGUGAGAUGUUGGGUUAAGUCCCGCAACGAGCGCAACCCUUAUGACUAGUUGCCAGCAUUUAGUUGGGCACUCUAGUAAGACUGCCGGUGACAAACCGGAGGAAGGUGGGGAUGACGUCAAAUCAUCAUGCCCCUUAUGACCUGGGCUACACACGUGCUACAAUGGAUGGUACAACGAGUUGCGAGACCGCGAGGUCAAGCUAAUCUCUUAAAGCCAUUCUCAGUUCGGACUGUAGGCUGCAACUCGCCUACACGAAGUCGGAAUCGCUAGUAAUCGCGGAUCAGCACGCCGCGGUGAAUACGUUCCCGGGCCUUGUACACACCGCCCGUCACACCAUGAGAGUUUGUAACACCCGAAGCCGGUGGCGUAACCCUUUUAGGGAGCGAGCCGUCUAAGGGUGACAAAAAGUUG
Molecule: ribosomal RNA, 1481 nt
Filed under: Lacticaseibacillus paracasei
Lineage: Bacteria; Bacillati; Bacillota; Bacilli; Lactobacillales; Lactobacillaceae
Description: bacterial SSU rRNA
Rfam family: Bacterial small subunit ribosomal RNA
Source: RNAcentral